GACGACGCUGGCGGCGUGGAUUAGGCAUGCAAGUCGAACGGUAUCAUCCUUUCGGGGGUGAGAGAGUGGCGAACUGGUGAGUAACACGUAGGUUAUCUACCCUCAAGACGGGGACAACCCAGGGAAACUUGGGCUAAUACCGGAUGUGAGCAACUUUUAGUUGUUUGAAAGGUGGCGUAAGCUGUCGCUUGGGGAUGAGCCUGCGUCCUAUUAGUUAGUUGGUGAGGUAACGGCUCACCUAGGCAAUGAUAGGUAGGCGGCCUUAACGGGUGGUCGCCCACACUGGGAUUGAGAUACGGCCCAGACUCCUACGGGAGGCAGCAGUCGAGAAUAGUCUACAAUGGUCGGAAGACUGAUAGUGCGACGCCGCGUGAACGAAGAAGCCCUUCGGGGUGUAAAGUUCUUUUAUAUGUGAGCAGUGCUUUCUAUGUGAACAGCAUGGGGAGAGAGAUAUUAGCAUAUGAAUAAGCAACGGCUAACUCCGUG
RNAcentral lists this ribosomal RNA (486 nucleotides) under uncultured bacterium. Its description in RNAcentral is "bacterial SSU rRNA". It matches the Rfam family "Bacterial small subunit ribosomal RNA", at positions 33 to 507 of the family's 1533-position model. The record is from RNAcentral.